GUGGGACGAGCGGUGGCAGCGGGGUAUCGCUCGUCGCUCCGGUGUUAAGGUGGUGGGAAAUGGUCGUGCUGUGGUGGUUACGGCUCUCCCACGUCCCUUUCGUGCUUAGAGGUGCAGAGCUGCUAUUAUAAGGCCUGAGGCUUCUAAGAAGUAUGUUCUGAAAGCAUAAGCCAUACCUGGUAUAGAAGCUGAAGAUGUCCUUGCUUAUGGCAGGGGGAUUGGAAUUAGAUGCUCUUUAAGGUCCCUUCCAAUACAAACCAUUCUAUGAUG
This is a non-coding RNA of Anas platyrhynchos (mallard), 270 nucleotides long. The record is from RefSeq and is a predicted model, not a curated record. NCBI's taxonomy places the organism in Eukaryota, Metazoa, Chordata, Aves, Anseriformes, Anatidae.